RNAcentral lists this ribosomal RNA (245 nucleotides) under uncultured bacterium. RNAcentral describes it as "partial 16S ribosomal RNA". It matches the Rfam family "Bacterial small subunit ribosomal RNA", at positions 15 to 224 of the family's 1533-position model. The record is from RNAcentral.
GAUAUGGCUCAGGAUUAACGCUGGCGGCAUGCCUAAGACAUGCAAGUCGUACGAAGCGGCCCAAAGAAACCUGAGUGCUUGCACAAAGGUGGACUUGGAUUACCGCUUAGUGGCGGACGGGUGAGUAACACGUGGGUAAUCUGCCUUUAAGUUGGGGAUAACAUAGGGAAACCUGUGCUAAUACCGAAUAUUAUAUAGGAAUGAUUUUCUUAUAUUGAAAGGUGCCUUUAAAGCAUCGCUUAAAG